AAUCACUGGUCCUGCUCUGAUUCUUACAGCUGCAAAGCUCAUUUUUUACAAUGUUUGGUUUAUGUUGUGAUGCCCCUAAUGGAUAUUUAUUGCAAUUAAAAUGUGUUUGUGGAAAAAGGAAACUCCAGCACACAAAGGUUUUGUGAAGGACUGGAGGACUCUUUAACUCUAAAGGCCUCGGUGAUUACUGCAGCCAGCAGAGGAAGAGUGAAAACAGAAGAAGAAGAAAGCACAACAGAGGAUGAUAAAGAGGCUCGUCUCGGCUUAUUGAAAUCCUUCGCCGCUGUGACUUGUGGAGUGGAGCGCUGAGCGAGGAGGAAGCUUCUGCGAGGGAGGGAAAAUGCUGCGAGGCGCCUCUGGACUUCAGCGGCCCUGACACUGAAUUAUAGUGUUUAGCCUGGAAAAGCUUUGUCUGUAAUUUCCCUGUUAGAUAUGAAGCGCUCAAUCAUUGCAGGAAAUGUCAGCGUUAGAAAGCAAUGAUUUGUUCACAGUUUUUAUUUCAUAUUCGGUCCUUGUAGGAGACACAGGGCAGUUUAUCAGGCUGUUGUGUUUGCUGUAGUUUCAGACAGGGGGAGGGAAAGUUCAGUUUUAGAACUAGUGUUUCAAACAAAAGGACAAAGUGUUCAUGCCGAGCUGAAGGAUGCAUGACAGGUUAUCUCAUCUGACACCUCUGAUUAAAGGAUGGCAUUGUC
Long non-coding RNA from Notolabrus celidotus (New Zealand spotty), 692 nucleotides. RefSeq lists it as uncharacterized. Lineage: Eukaryota; Metazoa; Chordata; Actinopteri; Labriformes; Labridae. The transcript is spliced from 3 exons. The record is from RefSeq and is a predicted model, not a curated record.